RNAcentral lists this ribosomal RNA (267 nucleotides) under uncultured Syntrophus sp. RNAcentral describes it as "partial 16S ribosomal RNA". It matches the Rfam family "Bacterial small subunit ribosomal RNA", at positions 1120 to 1382 of the family's 1533-position model. Lineage: Bacteria; Pseudomonadati; Thermodesulfobacteriota; Syntrophia; Syntrophales; Syntrophaceae. The record is from RNAcentral.
AUCAUUGAGUUGGGCACUUUAAAGAGACUGCCGGUGGUUAAACCGGAGGAAGGUGGGGAGUGACGUCAAGUCCUCAUGGCCUUUAUGCCCACGGGCUACACACGUGCUACAAUGGGUGGUACAAAGAGCAGCCAGCUCGCGAGGAGUGAGCAAAUCUCAAAAAGCCAUCCUCAGUUCGGAUUGAAGUCUGCAACUCGACUUCAUGAAGUUGGAAUCGCUAGUAAUCGCGGAUCAGCAUGCCCGCGGUCGAAUACGUUCCCGGGCCUU